GUCCUUUUCAAGGUGUCCUGUGACAAAUACCCUUGGAAGCUGACACAGCAAAGCCAGCGGUGAGCGCCUGGCCUCAGGAGGUGCCAGGUUUCAGCUGUGGUGCAAGCAGGAGAGGGUGAGGAACACCUCGCAGUUUUGGGCCGCAGGGAAGGUCGCCCUGUUGGUGUCCCCCCACUCCCGCCCCAGGGGCAGGCUCAGCUAGCAGCCUCUGGCAGCGCGCACGGGCCAUGCCUCCCUCUGGUGUGCGCCGUGUUUAUCUUCCAAGCCAUAGGGAGACUGGCUGUCCGCCUAACUGAGCAGAGAUCAGAAAGAAUCCGGCCCCUGUGUGGUUAAAUAAAGACAGGCCCCUCCCCGCGUCCCAAGGCCUCUCCUACACCCGCUCUGCUUAUCUGCCCGUUUUAAUCCCAGCUGCACCCUCUGACCAGCCGAAGCCCAGGCCCUGGGAGACUUAUCCAGAGGGCUGGAAUUCGCCCAGGCACCCCUCUAGCUGGCCACUUGCGGACUCGAUUAUGCGCCUGACACUUCAACAGCCGAAGGGGGAGGCUGGGGGCUCACAGUCUCCAGCGCAGGCCCCCGGGUGCGGCAGUCAAGGGGAGGCCGACCAGCUCCCCCUUGAUCUAACAGGUCCGUGCUGGUUUCCCUUGGGACGUGGGUGUGCGGCCCAGCUGGCUCCCCUCCAGUCCUCCGGCCCUGCCCUCUUGGGGGUCCUGUCCAAGCGGUGCAAGGAGCCACAGGACCCUUCUAUUCCGACAGCCUGCUGCCUUUGCUGCCUGCGUCACCGUCCAGGGCCAUGUGUGGUGCUGAACUCAUGUUCUUCCAGACCCGGAACUCAGGUUCUUCCUCCAGACUGGAGCAACGGCUGUCAGCUCUGUCCCUGCUCGCUCAGCAUGACGAUCUCACGCAAUGGAAGGAACUCAGAAGAGGUUCCAGGUCCGGCACCCAGCAGCCACAAGCCUGGCGACACUGGCAAAGUGCUAACUCUCCCGUGGACUCAGUUUCCUCAUCUGUAAAGUGGGAAGUUAUCAUCCUUCUAGUUACAGAGCCAAUUGGUAGGACAACACCUGAGGCUGCUUCCCUUAGCAGUUACUUUGAAAGCUGCCUAUUACUAGUAGUUUUGUGAAUCACACUUUUCACCAUAAAUGUAAUUUAUUUCACUUGAAAUUUGAUUUUUGCAUUAUUCUGGGCAACAUGGUAUCCCUAUCAUGGGAAGCUUAAAUUAAAUGAAAAAUGAAAAACACUGAUGUCUUAAUAUUACUCUUCCCACUAAAAUGAGAAAUUAUCUCCUCAUUCAGAUUUUGAAUACAAAUGCUAGUCUAGCUUUUAAGUAGCACACACGUUGAUUUUCCUGCCUGGCCUUUGAGAAUAUUCACUAUAAAAUAAGGCUCUCUGUGAAGAGGUCUCCCCAAGUAAUAACCCUACAAUUUCCCUUCUUCUUGACAAUCCCAAAGAACCCUCAGCAUUCGUGCACACUUAUUCUAGAGGAAUAUGCCCUAUUUUGAUACAUGUUCCUCUGACCACGCCUGCAAAGAUAACAGUACUGAUUUUUCAAGCGAGCAAGAAGGGAAACUUACUUCCAUGAAUCUCAGGCUAAUGACUGCUCUCUCCUGACCAAGCCAACCUCUCAAAAUCUAACCCCACAGAUUCUUCUUUCAGCCAGUGUGUGCUUUACCAUAAAAGCCAGAAACCUUUCUGCUUCCUGUACUGCAGAAAGGGAUGCCAAUAUUUUCUUUAUUUUACCUCAAGUCAUCUUGUAAAUCCAUGGCAAAUUAGGUACGGAGAGUUAAAAAAGAAAUAAAAACCCGGGAA
Long non-coding RNA from Fukomys damarensis (Damara mole-rat), 1806 nucleotides. The record is from Ensembl. Lineage: Eukaryota; Metazoa; Chordata; Mammalia; Rodentia; Bathyergidae.